This 253-nucleotide ribosomal RNA is filed under the name uncultured bacterium. Its description in RNAcentral is "partial 16S ribosomal RNA". It matches the Rfam family "Bacterial small subunit ribosomal RNA", at positions 524 to 776 of the family's 1533-position model. The record is from RNAcentral.
UACGGGGGGGGCAAGCGUUGUUCGGAAUUACUGGGCGUAAAGGGCUUGUAGGUGGCCAACUAAGUCAGACGUGAAAUCCCUCGGCUUAACCGGGGAACUGCGUCUGAUACUGGAUGGCUUGAGUUUGGGAGAGGGAUGCGGAAUUCCAGGUGUAGCGGUGAAAUGCGUAGAUAUCUGGAGGAACACCGGUGGCGAAGGCGGCAUCCUGGACCAAUACUGACACUGAAAAGCGAAAGCCAGGGGAGCAAACGGG